GUCUAUGGCCAUACCACCCUGAACGAGUCCGAUCUCGUCUGAUCUCGGAAGCUAAGCAGGGUCGGGUCUGGUUAGUACUUGGAUGGGAGACCACCUGGCAACACCGGGUGCCGUAGGCU
Molecule: ribosomal RNA, 119 nt
Filed under: Saimiri boliviensis boliviensis (Bolivian squirrel monkey)
Lineage: Eukaryota; Metazoa; Chordata; Mammalia; Primates; Cebidae
Source: RNAcentral